GCGAAAGUGGCGGAACUGGUAGACGCGCAGGUUUCAGGAACCUGUGGGUAACACCGUGGGGGUUCGAGUCCCCCCUUUCGCACCA
This 85-nucleotide transfer RNA is filed under the name Acidobacteriota bacterium. RNAcentral describes it as "tRNA-Leu". It matches the Rfam family "tRNA". Rfam says of the family: Transfer RNA (tRNA) molecules are approximately 80 nucleotides in length. Their secondary structure includes four short double-helical elements and three loops (D, anti-codon, and T loops). Further hydrogen bonds mediate the characteristic L-shaped molecular structure. tRNAs have two regions of fundamental functional importance: the anti-codon, which is responsible for specific mRNA codon recognition, and the 3' end, to which the tRNAs corresponding amino acid is attached (by aminoacyl-tRNA synthetases). tRNAs cope with the degeneracy of the genetic code in two manners: having more than one tRNA (with a specific anti-codon) for a particular amino acid; and 'wobble' base-pairing, i.e. permitting non-standard base-pairing at the 3rd anti-codon position. The record is from RNAcentral. Lineage: Bacteria; Pseudomonadati; Acidobacteriota. RNAcentral also lists the same sequence under 2 other names.